AUCGAGUAACCGAUGGCCGUUGAAAAUUAUAAAACGGAAGAUAAAUCAUUGCACAAACAAACACCAAAAUGUAGAAGUAAUUUAAAUUGCGAGUAAAAAUGUAUUAAAUUUGUCAAAUCUCAUGCAUCAUGACUUCAGGACAUUGCAAAUCUGAAGUCAAAGCUGAAAAGCUUUGCCGAACAUGCCUGUCUAAGGAUAACCAAUUCCAUUCAUUGUUUGAAGUAUUAGUAGGAACAGUUACACUAGAUUCGGUAGUAUCGGAAAUAACCGGAUUAGAGAUUCGCAAGGGAGAUGGACUCCCUUCUACAAUAUGUGAUGAUUGCAGAGAAAAGGCAGAGAUUGCUUAUUAUUUCAAAAAGAAAUCGCAUGACGCUCAUAACUCCUUGAAAGAUCAACUAAAAAGAGAAAAAAAUGAAAACUGUUUACAACAGAAACAACAAGUUAAUAAGUUAGCAACUGUUACCAGUGUCAAAGUUGAACACAUCACAUCCCAAGAUAAUGAAGAUUUCUCAGAUUCAGAAUUCGAUGUUCUUCUUGCUAGUGAAUCUGAUAAUUUGACAGAAAUAGAUCUUGAGCCAGUUAAGAAUGAGAAAUCAGCACAAGAAACACAUCCAUCCUAUUUUGAAUGUAAAAAUUGUUUAUUGGUGUUUGAAUCUCAAUCAAAAUUACAAGAACACAAGAAGAAAAAAUGCAUAAAAGUUGAGUUGGAUGAAUCUGGUGGGACUUAUUGCCCUCUUUGUGGAACAUGCUAUGAUGGAGCUGAAAGUUGGUCCAAACAUUUGUGGGAGUCUCAUGCUGAAGUUAUGGGACCAAAGAAAAGAGGACGUCCUAAGAAAAUGUUAACAAGUUCAAUUCUGGAUAAAUUGUCAGAGAAUGGAUUCUUUAUAACAACUGUUCCUACCAAAAAGCUAGACUGCUCAUUCUGUACUAAAAAUUUUAACACCAAAGAAGAACUGACCAGUCAUUUCAUCGAACACAAAGGUAUGAAGGUACUGUGUUGCAUAAUGUGUAAAAAAAUGUUUUUGAAGAAAGAAAACUUUCAAGAACAUUUGUGUAUUGAAGACCGUAACGAAAAUAAGAAGCCAGAUGAUGCUAAUGAUAUGCAAGCUACAAAGAAAUGGAAUUAUCUAACUGAAAUGCUAUUACAAGAUCUGUUGGAGCCAAAUUGUGAAAUGGAAAACGUUGAUGUUCUAAAAGUGUGUACUGCAUGUAGUGCGAUUUAUCUUUCUGAUGAAGAUCUUGUGAACCACCAUGAUGCUGAACAUCCGGAGCUUUCCCUUCGUUGUAAUCUGUGCACAAAGGUUUUUGCAUCUAUAAAAUCAGCAGCAAGACACAGAGCAAUCUGCAAACAGGUUGAAAAGACACAUGAAUGCACUACAUGCGGAUUGAAAUUCGCAUAUGAGAUUUCAUUGAAUAAACACAUUCUUAAAUAUCAUCAAGGGCAGAGUGUGUCUAUAACAUUUGAGGAUACAGCUCCGAAAGGUGAAGAAGAUAAACAGUAUCAAUGUGAUACUUGCAGCAGACUGUUCUUCAGAAAAGAAUUAUUAGCCAAGCAUGCCAGGAUACACAUGCCAAAUCAAAAAUAUUUUCAAUGUGACAUAUGUGAAAAGAAAUUCACAAGGAAAGAUAAUUUACGGUCGCACAAGCGUAUCCAUGAUCCGCAUCGUGAAAAAGGCCCAUCGAAUACAUGUUUAUGCUUGUAUUGUGGUCGGAGUUUCUCCAAUUCAUCCAAUUUAAUAGUCCAUAUGCGUCGGCACACGGGCGAGAAGCCAUACAAAUGUGAUUUUUGUGGGAAAGGUUUUCCACGAUCAUCAGAUCUACAGUGUCAUCGAAGAUCUCACACCGGUGAAAAGCCCUGCGUUUGUGGUGUUUGCGGAAAAGGGUUCUCCCGCAGCAACAAGUUGACACGUCACAUGCGCGUUCACACUGGUGUCAGACCGUACAAGUGUACCUACUGCGAGAAGGCGUUCUCACAGAGCAACGAUUUGACCUUGCACAUCCGGAGGCACACUGGAGACCGUCCUUACAUAUGCGAAGUCUGCGGAGACAGAUUCAUUCAGGGCACAGCACUGCAGAAUCACCGAAGAGCCCACGGGCAUUUCCGCAACCCGACAAACGAUGUCCAGACGCAAGUGCAAGGUUUACAGUAUAGUGUACAAAAUGUUUCUCAGAACAGUCAUUAAGUAUGUUUUGUUUUUGAAAUUGAAAGUAUAGUAAAAUCCAUGUGGUACAGAGUAGGCCAAAAAUACUUGUGAAUGAAUGCCUUGAAAAGUAAUAUAAUACGUAUAAGUGUACUAAGAUAAACGUACCUACUAUGUAUAUACAAAUCUAAUAUUCUUCUCAGUCGUUCCCUCGCUGUUGAGGAUCGUGACUCUUCCCUAGUCUUCUCUCUGUUUCUCUCCAUCUAUUCCUAUUUUUUGCAUCGUUCGGAGCUUCGUUGACCGGCAUUUCUAGUUGCAGAGUCACUUGUUCAGACCACCGCUUUAGGCUUCGGCCGCCAGGCCGGUGACGAUAUUAUAUGAAAUAUUGACAUUAUAUAAUAAAUAUAUAAAUGGAUAUUUGGGUCUUCUUUGUUUUAAGUCAUCAAUGUAUCCAGAACGUUGUAGUUGAUUAAGUGACGUGCAUGUAUUUUGAACAAAUGUAGUCUUUCAUAGCAAUAGUAACAUCAGAACUUGACCGGUACUAGUGAAUACGGAAAUAACUGAUUGAGUUUCCUUGAACCGUCGUCGUCCAUUCGUUUAGUUAUUAUAUUUAAUAACUCUUCAUAGUUCGCUGAAUUUGUUAUGAAGAUUCACAGAUAAUUUACAGUCUGUAUAAGCCUAUUUUUUUGAUGAAUUUUCUCCUUAUGCUGAUAUGUUUUUGCUGGUGGAUUUAUGUACAACGGAUUUUAUUUUAGUUAAUAUACGACCGCUUUGUUUUAAGUUGUGAAAUAAAAUAAAAUAAAAAACGGACUGCGUCAUUAUAGUAAAGUGCUAACGUUUCUCAUAUUAUUUCAAUUAUUAAUUACCCCUUAAAAUAUUGUUAAUUUGACGCUAAAAUAUUUCACAACGGUUCUAAAAAUAUUCGUCAAUAAUCUGAUGCGACCAUCUAUCAACUUAGUAAAUAAGUAACAUAAAGUUUAAUGAUCUGCUUUAUCUUAACUUUACGAAACGAUUCGGUGUGAAUAAAUCUUCAAGAAAUAAACACGCCAACCCUUCCAAUCACUUCCCAGAAAGGUUUCGAAAUCGCGAAACAUCUACCCUGUAUUAUGUGGAAAUUAGGUACUUUGUAAUGUUGUAUUUAUAACUGUCGUGUAUUUAGUACGUUAUCAGUCUUGCAUUUGCAAUCUAAUGUAGUAUAAGUACCGGGGUUGCUAGUUUGCGGUAGAAUUAGUGUUUUUCGUAGAAAUGUAAAUAAAAUUAGAGAGAUAUAUAACGACGUUUGCUAAACCAAUAUCUGUUAUAUGCAGUUUUUAAAGAUUACGUCAAUUUGCUUAUUACCAACACAUAAGUUUAUUUUACUAAUUAAAAUUUCGUAUCAAAAGAAAAGAAGUAGUUAAACUUUUUGCAGAUGACAGAUAUUGUUUUGACAAUGACGAUAAUUAUCCAUAAAAUCAAGUGGUUAAAUGUUAGUGGAUAUUAUUGAACUUGAGAACAGCGAGUGUUUGAUUUAUGAUAUAUUUUUACUAUUGUACAAUAAAAUUUUCGGCUUACGAAUUUGGAAUUUGGAACAAAACUGUUCAGAAAAGUCAAUCAAGUAAAAUUAAUAUACUUUACAAUAUUUUAAGAGUUGACUUCAAUAUUUUUAUAUAGAAAACACAAAGUUAUGUUUUAUUUGUUUAGAAUUUUAUAUACGAAUCGUAGAAUUAUUUUCUAAAGAUAUAACUUGGAUCUAAAGUAAAUUUCCUCAAUACUAAUAAGAUAAAAGAGGAGUAUGAUGAAAUCUGAAGUUUUGAUACGGUGUUUUUUUAAACGGUGCUAUUAACCAGCUAUUGGCGUCGGAUAAGUACAUCAUUCGUAAGCAAUAAAUGCCGCUGGUAAACGUUUACAAGCGCUGAAAACCUUCAAUUUUUCGUUGUUGGCUUCAAGAUAAAGAUAAGUGCUAUUAUGUAUGUAACCUCUAUACGAUUUAUCUUAAAAGAAGUUAAUAUGUUAUAAAGAUGGUAGCUUAAAUGUUGUUUUGGUUGAACGAGCACCACCAAAACAACAUUUAAAGCUAUUGCUUCACCACUUUUUAUGUUUUUUAUAUUUGAAUAUUUAAAUUUCAUUCAUGUCCUCUUUAUAACAUAUUAACCUCUUUUAAGAUAUCUCGUAUAGAGGUUACAUAAUAUAUACCUAAGGUUUUAAUUAGAAUAUUUAAAAUGAUGUCUCAGGCUUUUAGUUUUUCCGUGUUUGUGUUUUUUUCCUACCUACGCUGAUAGCCUUGAGAGGCUAUAUCAGCGGAACCUUAACUAGUAGGUGAGCUCACGGGGCUCAAACCUGACGACAUUGCGAACACGAACCCUAGCAAUAGCCGUGCUUCGCAGAAUCUACCACCGGAUCGGAAACGCGACCCACUGAGAAGAUCCGGCGAGAAACUCAGUGGGCUGAGUCUGAGGGCUAAUUUACUCGUCGAGCCGAGUCGAUUAAAUAUUUGUAGAAUUUAUACUUUAAUAGGAAGUAAAACACCCGAUGCGCGUAGAAUACAAAUGCCUAAUAAACAAAAUGUAAGAGCUGGUGUUGUGGUGCUAAUAGAUGGUUAUCAAGCUGGAAUCACACUUAUUAGUUUAAUGGCUGGCUUGUCUAGUGGGUUCGGUCCUGACCCGCAUCUUAAUCCUAUUUCAGCUUAUUAUUUUACCAAUGUAUAUCGAUGGGCGCUGAGAUACUUCAGUCUUAUACCUUACUGGGCUGGAACCCACGAGAGUAAUUUUUGUGAAACGACUAAAGUAUGGCGAAGACGAUUUUAUUAUAUGAAUCAAUUCAUUCCAAAGUGGCUCAAAUACAUAUUUCCUUUUGUGAAAAACGAGGAGUGGGAAAAGGAAGAAAUGGAGUUCAAACGGUUCAAAAAGUAUUCAGAGUCUGCGUUUGGAAAACAUUUUCGAUAUCCGAGUAAAGUUUUUAAUGAUUAUAAAUCUGAAGAAACUCAAGAAACAGCCGAAAAACGUGAUGCGUCGUCUUCUGGUGUCGAUAAAUAAACAGUACAAGUUUAAUUAACUCAUAA
Molecule: RNA transcript, 5178 nt
Organism: Bombyx mori (domestic silkworm)
Lineage: Eukaryota; Metazoa; Arthropoda; Insecta; Lepidoptera; Bombycidae
Gene name: zinc finger protein 271
Exons: 18
Source: RefSeq, a predicted model, not a curated record